UACGGAGGGUGCAAGCGUUAUCCGGAUUUACUGGGUUUAAAGGGUGCGUAGGUGGGUAAGUAAGUCAGUGGUGAAAUCUUCGAGCUUAACUCGGAAACUGCCAUUGAUACUAUUUAUCUUGAAUACUUUGGAGGUAAGCGGAAUAUGUCAUGUAGCGGUGGAAUGCUUAGAUAUGACAUAGAACACCAAUUGCGAAGGCAGCUUACUACACAGUUAUUGACACUGAGGCACGAAAGCGUGGGGAUCAAACAGG
Molecule: ribosomal RNA, 253 nt
Filed under: uncultured bacterium
Lineage: Bacteria
Description: partial 16S ribosomal RNA
Rfam family: Bacterial small subunit ribosomal RNA
Source: RNAcentral